Molecule: long non-coding RNA, 1084 nt
Filed under: Canis lupus dingo (dingo)
Lineage: Eukaryota; Metazoa; Chordata; Mammalia; Carnivora; Canidae
Description: lncRNA (ENSCAFG00020016262.1)
Source: RNAcentral
AUGUCUGUCGUCCGUCCGGUGGGGCUGCCCCAGAGCCCAAGACACCCGUCCGCAUCCACAGCCGGCAUCCCCGUGGGCCCCGUGUCGCUUCCGCCCAGUGUCUACCUCUUGCAGCUCCCGAGUGGCCUGUGUGCUCCCCGACGGCGGCGGCUGCUGGUGGGAGCAGCCGGAACACCCUGUGAAUUGCCCGGCAGGACUCACGCCUGCCUGGCUGCUGGAGGGACGUGGUACCCAGGGGCCACCAGCAACCCCAUGGGGGUGCCAGCGUGGCUGCUCCCACGGCAACUCCGCGACCCAUGCGCACUCCCUGCACCAGUGGCAAAACGUGGCGCCAAUUUUUCAGAGAAAGCAGGUGGUGCGGGUUCAGCAUGGACACUCCCCACCCAGCCCAGGUGCCACCGGGCCUGGAGGGGGCACCCUGACAGCGGAGGAGCCCCGCGGCCUGACCCCGCCUUAAAUAACCAACGUCCUCGCCCAUUCCCGGGGGUUUGGGUGCCAAGUGCUCUGCAAACCUGUUUUCUCUGGCUCAGCCAAAAGACACAACCCCUCCCCCUUCCCCUGACCUCUGGGCUUGGCGCAGGGUGGGGGGUGGGGUGGGGGGGAUUUUCCUUAAAAAUCACAGCUAGGGUAAAUGCAGGCCCUGGGAUGGCCAGGAGGAAACAGGCUGACCCCACCCUCACUGCAGUGGACCGGUGGUGGGUGACGUCAGGGAGGGGCAGGAUGGGAGGUGGCUCACUGUGGGGGGGCCGCCCCUCCCCCCGGAACCCCACUGUGCUUCUCUGUUCGCUCCAUGGUGGCAGCCUGUCUGGUCUCAUCCGUUGUCCGAUGGUUCCUCCGUGUGACUCAGUGUUACCCGUGGUGGACGGUCCUGUGCUCCAAGACGGUUUCUCCUCUUCCUCAUGGCUGCCUUGUACAAACAUCCGUUAGAAAAAGAAAUUGUAAAAUACCAGAUUUCUAACAAGAUGCACACACGGCAUUAAUGGCGUUCGGAGAUUUUUACACCCGGUCUUGUUUUUGACGUGAGCUGGUUUUUACUCUCGAAUGUUGUCACUGAAAUAAAAACCUUCUUUGCCUUUAAAGGGCA